CGCAGCCGCGGUAAUUCCAGCUCCAAUAGCGUAUAUUAAAGUUGUUGCAGUUAAAAAGCUCGUAGUUGAAUUUCGGGGUCAGUAAGUUGGUCGUGCCAAUGGUAUGUACUGGCUUUACUGAUUCCUCCUUCUUGAAGAACUGUAAUGCCAUUAAUUUGGUGUUGCAGGGAAUCAGGACUGUUACUUUGAAAAAUUAGAGUGUUUAAAGCAGGCUUACGCUUGAAUACAUUAGCAUGGAAUAAUGAAAUAGGACGUUGAUCUUAUUUUGUUGGUUUCUAGGAUUGACGUAAUGAUUAAUAGGGAUAGUUGGGGGCAUUAGUAUUCAAUUGUCAGAGGUGAAAUUCUUGGAUUUAUUGAAGACUAACUACUGCGAAAGCAUUUGCCAAGGAUGUUUUCAUUAAUCAAGAACGAAAGUUAGGGGAUCGAAGACGAUCAGAUACCGUCGUAGUCUUAACCAUAAACUAUGCCGACUAGGGAUCGGAUGAUGUUAAUUUUUAAUGACUCAUUCGGCGCCUUACGG
This 520-nucleotide ribosomal RNA is filed under the name uncultured Glomus. RNAcentral describes it as "SSU rRNA". It matches the Rfam family "Eukaryotic small subunit ribosomal RNA", at positions 569 to 1093 of the family's 1831-position model. The record is from RNAcentral. Lineage: Eukaryota; Fungi; Glomeromycota; Glomeromycetes; Glomerales; Glomeraceae.